GCGAGAUCGAGAGAUGGAGCAAAUCCCAAAAAUAACGUCCCAGUUCGGACUGUAGUCUGCAACCCGACUACACGAAGCUGGAAUCGCUAGUAAUCGCGGAUCAGAAUGCCGCGGUGAAUACGUUCCCGGGUCUUGUACACACCGCCCGUCACACCAUGGGAGUCAGUAACGCCCGAAGUCAGUGACCUAACCGAAAGGGAGGAGCUGCCGAAGGCGGGACGGAUGACUGGGGUGAAGUCGUAACAAGGUAGC
Molecule: ribosomal RNA, 252 nt
Filed under: uncultured bacterium
Lineage: Bacteria
Description: partial 16S ribosomal RNA
Rfam family: Bacterial small subunit ribosomal RNA
Source: RNAcentral